This 421-nucleotide ribosomal RNA is filed under the name uncultured bacterium. RNAcentral's name for it is "bacterial SSU rRNA". It matches the Rfam family "Bacterial small subunit ribosomal RNA", at positions 29 to 495 of the family's 1533-position model. The record is from RNAcentral.
AGCGAACGCUGGCGGCAGGCCUAACACAUGCAAGUCGAACGGACCCUUCGGGGUUAGUGGCGGACGGGUGAGUAACACGUGGGAACGUGCCUUUUGGUUCGGAAUAGCUCCUGGAAACGGGUGGUAAUGCCGAAUGUGCCCUUUGGGGGAAAGAUUUAUCGCCAUUAGAGCGGCCCGCGUCUGAUUAGCUAGUUGGUGGGGUAAAGGCUCACCAAGGCUACGAUCAGUAGCUGGUCUGAGAGGAUGACCAGCCACAUUGGGACUGAGACACGGCCCAAACUCCUACGGGAGGCAGCAGUGGGGAAUCUUGCGCAAUGGGCGAAAGCCUGACGCAGCCAUGCCGCGUGAAUGAUGAAGGUCUUAGGAUUGUAAAAUUCUUUCACCGGGGACGAUAAUGACGGUACCCGGAGAAGAAGCCCCG